AACCCCAGACCUUGCUGAAGCAGGUAGACCUGGGCUGUCUUCCUACCAAGGAGGCCCCCUUGCUCUACCCUGUUCUGUCCCCAUCUGGCACACCUGGCCUGGGGUCCCUGGGCCAUGGAGGGGACUCUGCUUCCCACUGUAGUGCCCAUCCCAUUCUCUACCUCUCAGGUCCCCUUCUCCCCCAGCCCUUCCCUGGGGUCCUGGGCUGCCUCCUGUGGCUCUCUGCACCCCUCGUCUCUCUCACCUUUCAUUUGGCCUCUUCCCUAGAACUACUCCGGAGACCUCGGGGCGCGAGUGGCCCUGCAUGAACUCUACAAGUACAUCAACAAGUACUAUGACCAGAUCAUCACUGCCCUGGAGGAGGAUGGCACGGCCCAGAAGAUGCAGCUGGGCUAUCGGCUCCAGCAGAUUGCAGCUGCUGUGG
Molecule: long non-coding RNA, 424 nt
Filed under: Homo sapiens (human)
Lineage: Eukaryota; Metazoa; Chordata; Mammalia; Primates; Hominidae
Description: non-protein coding lnc-CCDC51-6:1
Source: RNAcentral